RNAcentral lists this ribosomal RNA (457 nucleotides) under uncultured bacterium. RNAcentral describes it as "bacterial SSU rRNA". It matches the Rfam family "Bacterial small subunit ribosomal RNA", at positions 340 to 785 of the family's 1533-position model. The record is from RNAcentral.
UACGGAAGGCAGCAGUGGGGAAUAUUGCACAAUGGGCGAAAGCCUGAUGCAGCUAUGCCGCGUGUAUGAAGAAGGCCUUAGGGUUGUAAAGUACUUUCAUCGGGGAGGAAAAAACAAAACUAAUAAUUUUAUUUCUUGACGUUACCCGAAAAAGAAGCACCGGCUAACUCCGUGCCAGCAGCCGCGGUAAUACGGAGGGUGCUAGCGUUAAUCAGAAUUACUGGGCGUAAAGAGCACGUAGGUGGUUUUUUUAAAGUCAGAUGUGAAAUCCCUGGGCUUUAACCUGGAACUGCAUUUUGAAACUGAAAUACUAGAGUAUCGUAGAGGGAGGUAGAAUUCUAGGUGUAGCGGUGAAAUGCGUAGAUAUCUGGAGGAAUACCUGUGGCGAAAGCGGCCUCCUAAACGAAUACUGACACUGAGGUGCGAAAGCGUGGGGAGCAAACAGGGAUUUAGAUAC